CACGACCAGAACCCGGAUGCCGCCCUGCGUGCGCUGCACCAGGGGGACAGCCUGGAGUGCACAGCCAUGACAGUGCAGAUCCUGCUGAAGCUGGACCGCCUGGACCUCGCCCGGAAGGAGCUGAAGAGAAUGCAGGACCUGGACGAGGAUGCCACCCUCACCCAGCUCGCCACUGCCUGGGUCAGCCUGGCCACGGAGAUGGCUGACAAGUGCUCGCCCACCCUGCUGCUGCUCAAUGGGCAGGCGGCCUGCCACAUGGCCCAGGGCCGCUGGGAGGCCGCUGAGGGCCUGCUGCAGGAGGCGCUAGACAAGGAUAGUGGCUACCCAGAGACGCUGGUCAACCUCAUCGUCCUGUCCCAGCACCUGGGCAAGCCCCCUGAGGUGACAAACCGAUACCUGUCCCAGCUGAAGGAUGCCCACAGGUCCCAUCCCUUCAUCAAGGAGUACCAGGCCAAGGAGAACGACUUUGACAGGCUGGUGCUACAGUACGCUCCCAGCGCCUGAGGCUGGCCCAGAGCUGUCAGGACCAUGAAGCCAGGACAGAGGCCAGGAGCCAGCCCUGCAGCCCUCCCCACCCGGCAUCCACCUGCAUCCCCUCUGGGGGCAGGAGCCCACCCCCAGCACCCCCAUCUGUUAAUAAAUAUCUCAACUCCAGGGUGUUCCACCU
This 667-nucleotide long non-coding RNA is filed under the name Homo sapiens (human). Its description in RNAcentral is "long non-coding RNA NONHSAT180234.1". Lineage: Eukaryota; Metazoa; Chordata; Mammalia; Primates; Hominidae. The record is from RNAcentral.